Molecule: ribosomal RNA, 384 nt
Filed under: uncultured bacterium
Lineage: Bacteria
Description: bacterial SSU rRNA
Rfam family: Bacterial small subunit ribosomal RNA
Source: RNAcentral
AAGUCGGACGGGCGUGGGGGCUUCGGCCUUUGCGUCAGUGGCGGACGGGUGAGUAACGCGUAGGGAUCUGUCUUUGGGUGGGGGAUAACCGUGGGAAACUACGGCUAAGACCGCAUGAAGCCUGAGGGCCAAAGCCUCUCGUGAGGGGGGUGCCUGGAGAGGAGCCUGCGUCCGAUUAGCUGGUUGGUGGGGUAACGGCCUACCAAGGCGAUGAUCGGUAGCUGGUCUGAGAGGAUGGCCAGCCACACUGGGACUGAGACACGGCCCAGACUCCUACGGGAGGCAGCAGUGGGGAAUAUUGGGCAAUGGGCGCAAGCCUGACCCAGCAAUGCCGCGUGGGUGAAGAAGGUCUUCGGAUUGUAAAGCCCUUUCGGCGGGGACGAU